AUACAACACAUUCACACAAACUGCGUACCAUCUAUCGCAUAAACAUUUACACACACCCUUCUCCCCUUCUCUGAUGAACCCUAAACCGCGUACCAUCUAUCGCCAGCGACGACAUCAACCCUACACCGCCGCCAUCGAUCCAUCACCACAAUCGGAUCGGGCUUCAACAAAAUGGUAAAUAUCAAACCUUUAUUCAAAGGAGAAACGGUUGAUGCUGAUCAAUGAGGAUGGAUACUACGUGAGCUUUGAUCCUCGGCCUCAUUUUGUUACAAAAAAUGGGAUUGACUUCUUGGAAUGUAGAGCUUCUGAAAUAGCAGCAUGAGUGACCAUUUAUGUGGUUGGACCAACUGAAAUUACCAUUUCUCUUUCAUCAUGUACAAAAGACUGCAAGAGAUGAGAACAUGAUCUCCUGCCUGCAAUCUAUUGAAAGAAACAGUUGACAGAAGGAUAAAAAAAAGAGUGAUUAAAUGAACGACGACUUACUCACCCCUGGUUCAAAGUUAGAUAGUCUUUAUAAAUAAGAUGUAUUUAAAGCUUGACAAUAGCACACGAGUGUACAGUUGAAGACAAAUGGUUAUCUUAGAGUCCUAAAAUGACUUUCUUGAUCUUAGAAUUUAGGAUAAAAUCUCACAUUAUGAUGGAGUACUUAUUGGCUUUGUAGAGAGUUCAUACAAAGAAAAAUUAUGUAUAUAAACAUGCCGUGUAUAUUUUCUCUUAGUCAGUUCAUUUCUAAACAUCCCGUGUCAAAGGUACUACGUAUAGUAGAUUUCCAAUUAAAUAUGAAGCCCAUGUAAACCAUUCUCUUUUGGUGGCCAGUUGGGGUUAAUUGACAUGCGAUUUCCAAUACAUGUUACAAUUUAAUGUAAAAUUCCUGAGGAUCUGUGUUGUUACCGAAGUUUUGUUAUUCUGAUGGGUCCCCUAAUGGAUGAAGACAUGAAGUGCACCAAACAACUCAAAUCGUGGUAUAUCAGGUAUUGCAGUGGAUGGAUUGGAAAUAGGCAAUUUGAUAUUCUAUAUUGUCUAUACUCCUCUUUCCACAUUGACAUAAAGCUCUUGCAUGUAAGUCACCUGUGUUUUCUAUGUAUAAUUGUAUAUCGUUCAUCAAAUGUGUCUUGGUAGCUCUUUUGUUUUACAUAAUGAUUUUUUAACCAUGCAUUACCACACCUUGGAAUUUUUGUUACAUAUCCCAAGUAUUUGCAUAUUUAAUAAAAUUUUGAUUAAGGGUAUAUAAACAAAUGGCUAGGAUGAAUCCCUUUUUCUUCUAUGCAGAUAUGGCAUGAAAACAUACCCAUAUAAUAAAAUAGUUGAAAGGAAAAGUCACCAACGAUGGUUGAAAAGAGAUGGCUCGUAGUUCACUGGUGGCGGCACUAUGUUUCGAGAUGGAGCCACACAAUAUAUUACGAAACUCAAGUAAUACAUCCCUAUUACCGGUAGGGUCUCGAGGACAACUCUUGAUAUGGGAUGCGAGUUAUGAAACACAUUCGUGUUUUGUAAGAUAUUGAUAAUAUCACCUAUAAGUAUUAUUGGUAUAAGUAUUUUGGUAUUAAUGUUUGGUUUAACUAUAUAAUGUUGAGAUUUAAAAAAAUGUUUAUUUAUACAAUAAACUUUGUGAUGUCCA
Molecule: long non-coding RNA, 1618 nt
Organism: Erigeron canadensis
Lineage: Eukaryota; Viridiplantae; Streptophyta; Magnoliopsida; Asterales; Asteraceae
Exons: 4
Source: RefSeq, a predicted model, not a curated record